RNAcentral lists this ribosomal RNA (588 nucleotides) under uncultured bacterium. RNAcentral's name for it is "bacterial SSU rRNA". It matches the Rfam family "Bacterial small subunit ribosomal RNA", at positions 337 to 917 of the family's 1533-position model. The record is from RNAcentral.
UCCUACGGGAGGCAGCAGUAGGGAAUCUUCCGCAAUGGACGAAAGUCUGACGGAGCAACGCCGCGUGGGCGAAGAAGGCCUUCGGGUCGUAAAGCUCUGUUGUAAGGGAAGAACAAGUGCCAUUUAACUGAUGGCACCUUGACGGUACCUUACGAGAAAGCCACGGCUGACUACGUGCCAGCAGCCGCGGUAAUACGUAGGUGGCAAGCGUUGUCCGGAUUUAUUGGGCGUAAAGCGCGCGCAGGCGGUCCUUUAAGUCUGAUGUGAAAGCCCACGGCUCAACCGUGGAGGGUCAUUGGAAGCUGGGGGACUUGAGCGCAUAAGAGGAAAGUGGAAUUCCACGUGUAGCGGUGAAAUGCGUAGAGAUGUGGAGGAACACCAGUGGCGAAGUCGACUUUCUGGUCUGUAACUGACGCUGAGGCGCGAAAGCGUGGGGAGCAAACAGGAUUAGAUGUCCUGGUAGUCCACGCCGUAAACGAUGAGUGCUAAGUGUUAGGGGGUUUCCGCCCCUUAGUGCUGCAGCUAACGCAUUAAGCACUCCGCCUGGGGAGUACGGCCGCAAGGCUGAAACUCAAAGGAAUUGACGGA